AUUCCGGCGUCCAUCAUCUCCGACUGCGACAAAAUCUUCACGAGCCACCUAUGGCGCGAGCUGCUCGCGGGCGCUGGCACCAAGCUGCUCUACUCGACGGCCUAUCACCCCUAGACUGACGGCCAAAGAGAACGGGUGAACCAGUGCAUGGAGAUGUACCUUCGAUGCGCAGUGCACGACUCGCCGCACAAAUGGCGCCGGUGGCUGCCAAUGGCGGAGUUCUGGUACAAUUCAACAUUCCAUGCGUCACUCAACGGCACUCCCUUCAAGGCCCUCUACGGCAAAGAAGCAAACCUCGGCGCCAUGGCAUCCUGGGCGGAGUCGGCGCCGGCCGACGAGGAGAUGGACUGGGCGGCGCACACCACGCACAUCCGCGCACAGCUGGAACGCGCUCAGCGCAGGUUCAAGAAGAAUGACGACCGCAACCGCACCGUGCAGCACUUUCAGGCGGGCGAACAAGUACUACUCAAGCUCCAGCCGUAUGCGCAGCGCUCGGUGGUCAAUCGCCCUUGUGCCAAGCUCGCCUUCAAGUACUUUGGCCCCUACAAGAUCAUCGAGAAGAUCGGAACACUCGCGUACAAGCUCGACCUGCCGCCCGAAAGCCAAGUCCACCCUGUCUUUCACGUGUCGCAGCUGAAGCCCUUCACCCCCGACUACACGUCGGUGUACGGCGAGCUGCCCAAGGUGUCGGACCUCUCCGUCGACAACCUCACGCCGGCGCGCAUUCUGGACAGACGCAUGAUGAAGCACGGCGAUGCGCUGGUGGUGCAGCUCAAGGUGCAGUGGGGCACCGGCGACUCCGUGCCGACGACAUGGGAAGAUCACGACGUGCUGCGCCACCGUUUUCCGUCCGCACCACUCUGGGCGGAGGCGGAGGACGAUCAAGAGAAGAAGAAGAAGAAGACGCAUCUUAAGGAGGGAGGAAUGUCACACCUAACCUGUGGUUAG
Molecule: ribosomal RNA, 948 nt
Filed under: Triticum aestivum (bread wheat)
Lineage: Eukaryota; Viridiplantae; Streptophyta; Magnoliopsida; Poales; Poaceae
Description: partial small subunit ribosomal RNA
Source: RNAcentral